This 660-nucleotide ribosomal RNA is filed under the name Weissella paramesenteroides. RNAcentral's name for it is "bacterial SSU rRNA". It matches the Rfam family "Bacterial small subunit ribosomal RNA", at positions 60 to 700 of the family's 1533-position model. Lineage: Bacteria; Bacillati; Bacillota; Bacilli; Lactobacillales; Lactobacillaceae. The record is from RNAcentral.
GAUCUGACGAGCUUGCUCUGAUUUGAUUUUAUCUGACAAAGAGUGGCGAACGGGUGAGUAACACGUGGGUAACCUACCUCUUAGCAGGGGAUAACAUUUGGAAACAAGUGCUAAUACCGUAUAAUACCAACAACCGCAUGGUUGUUGGUUGAAAGAUGGUUCUGCUAUCACUAAGAGAUGGACCCGCGGUGCAUUAGCUAGUUGGUAAGGUAACGGCUUACCAAGGCAAUGAUGCAUAGCCGAGUUGAGAGACUGAUCGGCCACAAUGGGACUGAGACACGGCCCAUACUCCUACGGGAGGCAGCAGUAGGGAAUCUUCCACAAUGGGCGCAAGCCUGAUGGAGCAACGCCGCGUGUGUGAUGAAGGGUUUCGGCUCGUAAAACACUGUUAUAAGAGAAGAACGGCACUGAGAGUAACUGUUCAGUGUGUGACGGUAUCUUACCAGAAAGGAACGGCUAAAUACGUGCCAGCAGCCGCGGUAAUACGUAUGUUCCAAGCGUUAUCCGGAUUUAUUGGGCGUAAAGCGAGCGCAGACGGUUAUUUAAGUCUGAAGUGAAAGCCCUCAGCUCAACUGAGGAAUGGCUUUGGAAACUGGAUGACUUGAGUGCAGUAGAGGAAAGUGGAACUCCAUGUGUAGCGGUGAAAUGCGUAGAUAUAUG